GUGGUAGAGCACUUGCUUAGCAUGUGUGAGGCACUGGAUUCGAUCCUCAGCACCACAUAAAAAUAAACAAAAUAAAAAAAUCAUAAAGACAUUUUUUAAAAAAUGUGGGUACCAGACAAUUUAAAAUCACACAGGCAGCUCGCAUAUCUGACUCACUUUUCAUUUUUGCAGACAGACAUUAUUUUUUCUUGUGAUGUCAGCUUCAUAGGUUGUUACCAGAGCGCAAAGUUACACAGGGUCCAGUGUCCAGAAGGUUCUCGUAACUUGGUUUAAUUCUGCUGUCAUUGUCUUGAAAUUCUUUAUCUUUGAAUUUCAGUUUUAUAGUGAAUUCUCAAAGGACAAUGGAGCAUGCGCCAGGGCUUGCAGUCCAGGCUCUUGCACUAUCGGCCUCCUCAGGCUGCCUCCAGAGGAUUGCUUCCCAGCACUUAUAUGUCCCUGACCCUGCAACUGCUGCCAGGCAUUAAGUAACAAAAUGCACAAUGACAAAUCAAGAGAGAGAUGGCUGGAGGAAGGAAAAUGCUUUUUCUUGCCUUUUGGGCAAGGGGCCCUGCAUCUUCAUUUUAACUGGGCUCAUGAAUUACACAGCCAAUCCUACUUCAAGUUCCAGGCUCUGGCCGUUCUUUCUGUUUGUCAAGCUAAGAGGCCAGACACAAAGGACCACAUAUAGUAUGAUUCCUUUUAUGUGCAAUAUCCAGAAGAGACAAAUCCUUAGAGAAUAAAACAGAUCAGUGACUGGCAACAGUGGAAA
Long non-coding RNA from Ictidomys tridecemlineatus (thirteen-lined ground squirrel), 748 nucleotides. RefSeq lists it as uncharacterized. Lineage: Eukaryota; Metazoa; Chordata; Mammalia; Rodentia; Sciuridae. The record is from RefSeq and is a predicted model, not a curated record.